RNAcentral lists this non-coding RNA (202 nucleotides) under Paracoccus solventivorans. The record is from RNAcentral. Lineage: Bacteria; Pseudomonadati; Pseudomonadota; Alphaproteobacteria; Rhodobacterales; Paracoccaceae.
CGGCAGUUGGGCGGCGUCGGUUCCUGUCUAUGACAGGCGAAGAGGGAAUGAUCUAGGGCCCCGGCCCGAAGUUCAGCCGCCCCCGCGACCGUGACCGGAGAGGUCGUCCAAGCCACUGGCAUUCGUGCCGGGAAGGCGGGCGACCGGGGCCGCAAGGCCCGGCUCCGCAAGCCGGGAGACCUGCCGACACGGUUAUGUUUCG